Molecule: long non-coding RNA, 867 nt
Filed under: Gallus gallus (chicken)
Lineage: Eukaryota; Metazoa; Chordata; Aves; Galliformes; Phasianidae
Description: lncRNA (ENSGALG00010006907.1)
Source: RNAcentral
AAUCCAGAAGCGAGAAAAGCACAGUAACUAAACUGAAGUUUGGAGAAUGCUCUCUUAUGUGCAUAUCCUGGAUAUUAUGGAAGAAUAUAGAAAAAUUGAAACCAAUAGCUUCCCAAGGGAUGCCUGAGAGACAGUGGCAGCUAUGAGACCAGAUGGAGGGCUGAAUUUGAACCAAUUGCUUUGUAAAGAAAAUACAAGCUGUGUAAACAGAAGAGGUCAAUCAAGGAUAUGGUUACUGUAAGUCACCAAAUCUAAUCCAAAGCCUUCACUCCAGUUCCAUCAGAUUCAAGACAAAUGCCCCAGUAUGGAAUCAAGGAGAAUAAACACAGUGCAGUGUUUUAUGACUAACCUCACUGAACUCAAUGACAGAAUUUUUUUUUUAAAUUGUGACAAUGCUCUGAGCUCUAAAAGGAAUUACUUGGCAGUGUUAACUGUCCUGAAUGACAUAAAAUACUAAAAUAUCAAGAAAAAAGGAAAGUAAUGAUCCUUCAGUGAGCCAGAAAUGAAAGUGUUGCCUCUCAUCCCAAAAUAAAGAUGGAAAAAUCCUUUUCCAUAUCAUUUGUAAAGUUUUUAUUUUUAUUUGAUGUUGAAUUCUGAAUGCUGACAUAGAGAUCGUAUUGGAGACACAUUUUUCACACAGUCUGAGAAAGUACCUAUAACACUAUAAUGUGAUGGAAGGUACAACAAUAAUAGCAGGAUGGAAAAGCUUUCGGCUGCAGCAAAUGCAGACACCACAAGGAGGAGAAAAAAGAGACCACCACACAAGCUACUUACCUUUAGAAGGCCUCAGUCAAGGAAAAGAUUACCAGAGAAGGGGAUAUGAAAAUAGAGGAAGACUGUCUAAAAAUCUUCUGAGAUUGCAAGAGG